RNAcentral lists this unclassified non-coding RNA (314 nucleotides) under plant metagenome. Its description in RNAcentral is "partial contains 5.8S ribosomal RNA, internal transcribed spacer 2, and large subunit ribosomal RNA". The stretch from base 1 to 105 matches the Rfam family "5.8S ribosomal RNA", at positions 50 to 154 of the family's 154-position model. The record is from RNAcentral.
GAAACGCGAUAGUUAAUGUGAAUUGCAGAAUUCAGUGAAUCAUCGAGUCUUUGAACGCACAUUGCGCCCAUAGGUAUUCCUUUGGGCAUGUCUGUUUGAGCGUCAUUACAACCCUCAGCUAACCGCUGGUUUUGAACCUGAACGGGUGAUACCGCGCCGGUUUUAAAGUUGUAAGCUCUGCUGGCCGCUCUGCCCAACCAGAACAUAGUAAGCACUACUUGUCCGGGUGAAGCUGAACGGUACGGCCUGAACAAAACCUACCCACUCUCAAGGUUUGACCUCAGAUCAGACAAGGAUACCCGCUGAACUUAAGC